UACGGAGGGGGCUAGCGUUGUUCGGAAUUACUGGGCGUAAAGCGCACGUAGGCGGCGAUUUAAGUCAGAGGUGAAAGCCCGGGGCUCAACCCCGGAACUGCCUUUGAGACUGGAUUGCUUGAAUCCUGGAGAGGUGAGUGGAAUUCCGAGUGUAGAGGUGAAAUUCGUAGAUAUUCGGAAGAACACCAGUGGCGAAGGCGGCUCACUGGACAGGUAUUGACGCUGAGGUGCGAAAGCGUGGGGAGCAAACAGG
Molecule: ribosomal RNA, 253 nt
Filed under: uncultured bacterium
Lineage: Bacteria
Description: partial 16S ribosomal RNA
Rfam family: Bacterial small subunit ribosomal RNA
Source: RNAcentral